Molecule: ribosomal RNA, 440 nt
Filed under: uncultured bacterium
Lineage: Bacteria
Description: partial 16S ribosomal RNA
Rfam family: Bacterial small subunit ribosomal RNA
Source: RNAcentral
CCUACGGGAGGCAGCAGUGGGGAAUAUUGCACAAUGGGGGAAACCCUGAUGCAGCGACGCCGCGUGAGUGAAGAAGUAUUUCGGUAUGUAAAGCUCUGUCAGCAGGGAAGAAAAUGACGGUACCUGACCAAGAAGCCCCGGCUAACUACGUGCCAGCAGCCGCGGUAAUACGUAGGGGGCAAGCGUUAUCUGGAUUUACUGGGUGUAAAGGGAGCGUAGACGGCAGGGCAAGUCUGGAGUGAAAGGCGGGGGCUCAACCCCCGGACUGCACUGGAAACUGCUAGGUUGGAGUGCAGGAGAGGUAAGUGGAAUUCCUAGUGUAGCGGUGAAAUGCGUAGAUAUUAGGAGGAACACCAGUGGCGAAGGCGGCUUACUGGACUGUAACUGACGGUGAGGCGCGAAAGCGUGGGGAGCAAACAGGAUUAGAUACCCCGGUAGUC